UCCUUAGAUGUCCUGGGCCGCACGCGCGCUACACUGACGGAGCCAGCGAGCGUGUCCUUCGCCGAAAGGUGCGGGUAAUCUUGGCAGCCUCCGUCGUGCUGGGGAUAGAUGGUUGCAAUUAUUGAUCUUGAACGAGGAAUUCCUAGUAAGCGCGAGUCACCAGCUCGCGUUGAUUACGUCCCUGCCCUUUGUACACACCGCCCGUCGCUACUACCGAUUGGAUGGCUUAAUGAGAGCUCUGGAUCUCUGCCGGCGCGGUCCUCACGGGUCGCGUUGGAUGGGGAGAAGUUGCUCAAAUUGAGUCUUCUAGAGGAAGUAAAAGUCGUAACA
This 330-nucleotide ribosomal RNA is filed under the name uncultured eukaryote. RNAcentral describes it as "partial 18S ribosomal RNA". It matches the Rfam family "Eukaryotic small subunit ribosomal RNA", at positions 1470 to 1796 of the family's 1831-position model. The record is from RNAcentral.